RNAcentral lists this ribosomal RNA (249 nucleotides) under uncultured bacterium. RNAcentral describes it as "partial 16S ribosomal RNA". It matches the Rfam family "Bacterial small subunit ribosomal RNA", at positions 796 to 1041 of the family's 1533-position model. RNAcentral also lists the same sequence under 1 other name. The record is from RNAcentral.
CACGCCGUAAACGAUGGAUACUAGGUGUAGGAGGUAUCGACCCCUCCUGUGCCGGAGUUAACGCAAUAAGUAUCCCGCCUGGGAAGUACGAUCGCAAGAUUAAAACUCAAAGGAAUUGACGGGGGCCCGCACAAGCGGUGGAGUAUGUGGUUUAAUUCGACGCAACGCGAAGAACCUUACCAGGUCUUGACAUUGAUCGCGAUCUGCAGAAAUGCGGAGUUCUUCUUCGGAAGACGAGAAAACAGGUGG